This 84-nucleotide microRNA precursor is filed under the name Bombyx mori (domestic silkworm). Its description in RNAcentral is "mir-2807 microRNA precursor family". It matches the Rfam family "mir-2807 microRNA precursor family". Lineage: Eukaryota; Metazoa; Arthropoda; Insecta; Lepidoptera; Bombycidae. The record is from Rfam by way of RNAcentral.
UUAACUUCUAUUUGUAUAGAAUGGGAUUGUUUGCGUACGUUUGCCGCUAGGGGCGCUGUUCCAACUGCAUACAAAUUUGAGUUA